GACGAACGCUGGCGGCGUGCUUAACACAUGCAAGUCGAACGGAAAGGCCCUGCUUUUGUGGGGUGCUCGAGUGGCGAACGGGUGAGUAACACGUGAGUAACCUGCCCUUUACUUUGGGAUAACUUCAGGAAACUGGGUCUAAUACCGGAUAGGAGCUCCUGCUGCAUGGUGGGGGUUGGAAAGUUUCGGCGGUUGGGGAUGGACUCGCGGCUUAUCAGCUUGUUGGUGGGGUAGUGGCUUACCAAGGCUUUGACGGGUAGCCGGCCUGAGAGGGUGACCGGCCACAUUGGGAAUGAGAUACGGCCCAAACUCCUACGGGAGGAAGCAGUGGGGAAUAUUGCACAAUGGGCGGAAGCCUGAUGCAGCAACGCCGCGUGCGGGAUGAAGGACUUCGGGUUGUAAACCGCUUUCGCCUGUGACGAAGCGUGAGUGACGGUAAUGGGUAAAGAAGCACCGGCUAACUACGUG
RNAcentral lists this ribosomal RNA (468 nucleotides) under uncultured bacterium. RNAcentral's name for it is "partial 16S ribosomal RNA". It matches the Rfam family "Bacterial small subunit ribosomal RNA", at positions 28 to 507 of the family's 1533-position model. The record is from RNAcentral.